GUACACAGAUUCCGUCUGGACCAUGAAUCAACAAACAUUUCAUUAAAUCAAGAAGCUCAACAUAUUUGAAGGCUGUUGGCUCAAAUGGGAAUAAUUAUGUAUCUGGCAGAUGCAUUGCUGAGAUCAUGCUGAAUUGUUGAGGGUAAUCUUUGAAGCAGCUGCAUAUUAUCAUCUCACAUAGAGGUUUUUUUAGAUUUUAUUUGCUUCUCUAUGGGGAAGCCUCCAGCAGGAUCUCUAUACCCAGCCUAUGUGAGACAUUUUGGUUCUAGACGUCAAUCAAAUCCAAAAGAAGAAAGGAAUUUAUCACAUUCAGAGCCGCGUGAGGAAUAUUGACUUCCCUUUCUGAAUAAUCAUGCAGUUUGAGUUUGUUUCUAGGUUGCGACCUUCAGAUGUUCUCCAUGGAAGCAGCUAUAGCAACAGAAAAGAGCUUAUCCAGGACUAGCUUCUCAGUCAUCAAGCAAAAUGAGUUUUCUUCAUGGAGUGGCCACCUUAAGCCCGCUAUCACUGAGAAUCCAGUGAUACAGUGAUGGGACAGCAGUCUCGAGUAGUUUUGUGUCAGACUCUUACACAACUGUUCUCUGGAGUCCUCAACUAAGUUUCAUGAACUUCUGUUUCAGAUCAGUGAUCCAAAGACCCACAUGGAUUCUGCAUCUAAACUCCAGAGAAAACUCUACAGAAUCAGGCCAUGUGUAAUUGAAGAAAUUCCACCCAUCCUCUGUCCCUCGGAUACUUUGCCUGGAGCAACCUGGAGUUAAGUGCUUUGCUCAAGGGCACGAUGGAGAUGGUUCAUGGCUCACAUUGUUUGGGGAUCAAACAGAGACUCUGAGGUGAAAAAUCAAAAGCAAGAAAUUGAACCUUCAGUAGAAGCAAAACCAACCACAGAUCUACAUGUCACAGAUCAGCUUUGGAUUAAGCAGCAGCCACCCUGCUUAGCAACACCCCAGAUACCACCCAGAACACCCUGUCAACUGCAUAAGAACACCUUUUCCUUUCACCUUUCCUGAGAUUUCCC
Long non-coding RNA from Cyprinus carpio carpio, 1012 nucleotides. Lineage: Eukaryota; Metazoa; Chordata; Actinopteri; Cypriniformes; Cyprinidae. The record is from Ensembl.